AUUGAACGCUGGCGGCAGGCCUAACACUUGCAAGUCGAGCGGAUGAAGGGAGCUUGCUCCUGGAUUCAGCGGCGGACGGGUGAGUAAUGCCUAGGAAUCUGCCUGGUAGUGGGGGAUAACGUCCGGAAACGGGCGCUAAUACCGCAUACGUCCUGAGGGAGAAAGUGGGGGAUCUUCGGACCUCACGCUAUCAGAUGAGCCUAGGUCGGAUUAGCUAGUUGGUGGGGUAAAGGCCUACCAAGGCGACGAUCCGUAACUGGUCUGAGAGGAUGAUCAGUCACACUGGAACUGAGACACGGUCCAGACUCCUACGGGAGGCAGCAGUGGGGAAUAUUGGGCAAUGGGCGAAAGCCUGAUCCAGCCAUGCCGCGUGUGUGAAGAAGGUCUUCGGAUUGUAAAGCACUUUAAGUUGGGAGGAAGGGCAGUAAGUUAAUACAUUGCUGUUUUGACGUUACCAACAGAAUAAGCACCGGCUAACUUCGUG
Molecule: ribosomal RNA, 484 nt
Filed under: uncultured bacterium
Lineage: Bacteria
Description: partial 16S ribosomal RNA
Rfam family: Bacterial small subunit ribosomal RNA
Source: RNAcentral